Molecule: unclassified non-coding RNA, 327 nt
Filed under: fungal sp.
Lineage: Eukaryota; Fungi
Description: partial internal transcribed spacer region
Rfam family: Eukaryotic small subunit ribosomal RNA (bases 1-46)
Source: RNAcentral
AAGUCGUAACAAGGUUUCCGUAGGUGAACCUGCGGAAGGAUCAUUAACACGUAUCCAACGUUAAACAACCCUGUGAACUUUCAGACGCUCUUGUAGCCCAGGCGGAACAGCAAUCCCGGUAAAUCAAUGGCGGAAAAGUUUUGAUUCGGGACCUCAAGGAUCCACUGAGUAAGGAUAACGCAUCACGGUUGCUAGAGGUCGAUCACCGGCCGGCAGACAUGUCACAGGGCUACAUGCCCCUUCGUUCACCCCUUGCCUAAAACUCGCCCACCGGAAACGCUGGGCACAAAAACCGAACAACUGUUAACAAUGGAUAUCUUGGUUCUC